CUAUGGGAUCACUGUCCUGCUGCUGAUGAUCGAUCCUAACCGAAAAGAUCGCGCGCCGCGGACGGCGCGUCAUCCGCGAAUAUGCCCGCAUGCGGCAAUACGCACUCUGGCGAUAGGCGCGGAGACCGUCGGGUGGCCUCUGUCCCACUACGGUGAACGAUCACUGCUUACUGCGCC
RNAcentral lists this small RNA (177 nucleotides) under Sinorhizobium meliloti 2011. RNAcentral's name for it is "putative ncRNA". The record is from RNAcentral. Lineage: Bacteria; Pseudomonadati; Pseudomonadota; Alphaproteobacteria; Hyphomicrobiales; Rhizobiaceae.